GGCGGACGGGUGAGUAACACGUGGGUAACCUGCCUGUAAGACUGGGAUAACUCCGGGAAACCGGAGCUAAUACCGGAUAGUUCCUUGAACCGCAUGGUUCAAGGAUGAAAGACGGUUUCGGCUGUCACUUACAGAUGGACCCGCGGCGCAUUAGCUAGUUGGUGAGGUAACGGCUCACCAAGGCGACGAUGCGUAGCCGACCUGAGAGGGUGAUCGGCCACACUGGGACUGAGACACGGCCCAGACUCCUACGGGAGGCAGCAGUAGGGAAUCUUCCGCAAUGGACGAAAGUCUGACGGAGCAACGCCGCGUGAGUGAUGAAGGUUUUCGGAUCGUAAAGCUCUGUUGUUAGGGAAGAACAAGUGCAAGAGUAACUGCUUGCACCUUGACGGUACCUAACCAGAAAGCCACGGCUAACUACGUGCCAGCAGCCGCGGUAAUACGUAGGUGGCAAGCGUUGUCCGGAAUUAUUGGGCGUAAAGGGCUCGCAGGCGGUUUUCUUAAAUCUGAUGUGAAAGCCCCCGGCUCAACCGGGG
RNAcentral lists this ribosomal RNA (536 nucleotides) under Bacillus safensis. RNAcentral's name for it is "bacterial SSU rRNA". It matches the Rfam family "Bacterial small subunit ribosomal RNA", at positions 97 to 618 of the family's 1533-position model. Lineage: Bacteria; Bacillati; Bacillota; Bacilli; Caryophanales; Bacillaceae. The record is from RNAcentral.